Molecule: ribosomal RNA, 443 nt
Filed under: Bacillus sp. F66
Lineage: Bacteria; Bacillati; Bacillota; Bacilli; Caryophanales; Bacillaceae
Description: bacterial SSU rRNA
Rfam family: Bacterial small subunit ribosomal RNA
Source: RNAcentral
GUGGGCAACCUGCCUGUAAGACUGGGAUAACUUCGGGAAACCGGAGCUAAUACCGGAUAAUCCUUUUCUACUCAUGUAGAAAAGCUGAAAGAUGGCUUCGGCUAUCACUUACAGAUGGGCCCGCGGCGCAUUAGCUAGUUGGUGAGGUAACGGCUCACCAAGGCGACGAUGCGUAGCCGACCUGAGAGGGUGAUCGGCCACACUGGGACUGAGACACGGCCCAGACUCCUACGGGAGGCAGCAGUAGGGAAUCUUCCGCAAUGGACGAAAGUCUGACGGAGCAACGCCGCGUGAGUGAUGAAGGUUUUCGGAUCGUAAAACUCUGUUGUUAGGGAAGAACAAGUACCGUUCGAAUAGGGCGGUACCUUGACGGUACCUAACCAGAAAGCCACGGCUAACUACGUGCCAGCAGCCGCGGUAAUACGUAGGUGGCAAGCGUUGUC